RNAcentral lists this long non-coding RNA (6291 nucleotides) under Pan troglodytes (chimpanzee). RNAcentral describes it as "long non-coding RNA NONPTRT003332". Lineage: Eukaryota; Metazoa; Chordata; Mammalia; Primates; Hominidae. The record is from RNAcentral.
CGGCUCCGCGAGAAGCGAUGGCAGCGAGGGCUGGAGGACCCGGGCUACGGGACUCCGGGGCGUCUGGCCUGGGUGGGACUGAGCCCAUCCAGGGACUGGGACUCCGGGGUUGUGGUGUAGGUGGAUCCGGGGCAGGCUCAGGACCAAGACCCUCUGCUUCCACCAAGGAGCGCCCAGAGGCCGGCGGCAGCUCCAGGUUCACCUCCUCCUUCUCCAGGAAAUCCCACUUCCAGCUGGAUGUCUGGAUGAACUACUGAAAGCUGCUGAGUGUCUUGCAGCAGCUUGACUACCACACAAAUUAAUCCACUCAAAUGUUGGCAAGUGGAGCAGAGUCCCAGGACAGGAGGCGCUUGGAAACCACCGUGAAUUGGACCGCACUGGGAAACACAGAUGAAGAAAGUCAACACCGCUUUGUCCUUCAGUGCCUGGCUCCUUUUUCAGCUCGUCUUGCAACUCCAGGCAUUGGAGUCCAGGGAGGGGCACGCCGCCUUUACCCUGUGCUUCCCACGAUCUUGUCUCCUUAAUCCUCACUGCAGCUCUCUGCCAUAGGGUCUUAUACUGCUUUACAUGUGGGAAACUGAAGCUCAGAGGGUUUCACAGCAGGGCAGGGAGGCCAGAUGUGAAUCUGUACAUACCAAGCUUUCUAAUUUUUCAGUAGUUUCCAAGCAUCUUUUUUUUUUCUUGUUUCGUCAUUGGUGUCUUUUUUUUUUUUUUUUUUUUUUUUUGAGACAAAGUCUCUGUCACCCAGGCUGGGGUGCAGUGGUGUGAUCUCAGCUCACUGCAACCUCCGUGUCUCACAUUCAAGCAAUUCUCAUGCCUCAGCCUCCCAAGUAGCUGGGACUACAAGUGCCCACCACACCCAGCUUAUUUUUGUAUUUUUAGUAGAAACAGGGUUUCACCAUGUUGGCCAGGCUGGUCUUGAACUCCUGACCUCAGGUGAUCCACACGCCUUGGCCUCCCAAUAAGCUGGAAUUAUUGAUAUGAGCCACUGUGCCCGGCCAUGUCAUUGGUGCCUUAACCAAGCCUCUUUUAAUUUUUCAAACUUAAGUGCCCCUGUCCCACAGUUACUGCUGCUGAGCCCUUUCAAGGUGAGUCAGUGAGGAGGGGGAAAAGCGGAAGCGGUGUGGGAAGAGGCGGGGUCUGGGCCAGCUGCUGGUCCUGCUCUCCUCCCUCAUCUGGCCUCUAGGCUCCUAGGAGUGGUUUGGAACCUGCGCCAUGUGCUCUGGAGGCUGUGUCAGGGCAGGCGCGGCUUGGAACCCGCACCAUGUGCUCUGGGGGCUGUGGCAGGUCAGGGGCAGCUUGGAACCUGCGCCAUGUGCUCUGGGGGCUGUGCCAGGGCAGGGGGAGUCCUAGUGUCCCCUGCGCACAACACAGACAGAAUGCUGGGUCCACCCAGUGGGCGGUCGGGUGCCAGGCCAGUGCUUACCCCGCCGUGUUUGCAGCUCGAGGCCAGCUGGCUGCAGGUGCAGGGCUAUGCAUCAGGGGUCAGGGUGCACACAUCCCUGCAGGUCUCGGGGCUCCUGGGUUGCUUCUGGAAGGGCCCAGAUGGUGCCUGACUGGAGCUGCUGAGGGGUGGAGCUUCUGGGAAAAGGAUCCCUCCUAGGGGGAGUGUCUUGGGCCUGGGGCCAUGUGGCAGGGACAGAGACGGGUUCAUGGCAGUGUCUGCUCCUCUCUGUGAAGGCAAAGGGCCUCUGAGGGAGUAUUACAGCCGCCUCAUCCACCAGAAGCAUUUCCAGCACAUCCAGGUCUGCACCCCCUGGCUGGAGGGCCGAGGACUACCCCCGCUUCUAGGGUUGGUGGACCUGGGUGUCUGUCUGGACACAUCCUCCAGUGGCCUGGACCUGCCCAUGAAGGUGGUGGACAUGUUCAGGUGCUGUUUGCCUGCGUGUGCCGUGAACUUCAAGUGGUAGGAGCAGAAACCGAAUCUUUCUGGGGAUAGCUUCACAGAUCCACCGCUGAGGGGGAAGCAGUGCAGAGUGAGCUGCCCACAGUGAGGCCCUGCCCCUCGGUCAGUCCAGCACACACUGGAGGCCAUGAGGAGGAGCCCUGCGGUUAUGUGGCUGGGCUGAGCCUCACUGUAGUAGUUGCUUCCAUUUAGAGCUCAUGUUAUAUUUAGGUUGGUACAAAAGUAAUCAUGGUUUUUGCCAUUAAAAAUGGCAAUUACUUUUGCACCAACCCAAUAUGAAAAAAAAAAAAAGCACCUUAAAUACAAGAACUCCACUCAGGGCUUUUGCUCCUAGAGUAGAAUUGGCGGGAAUUGCCUGCAGGCUUACAUGGUUUUCUUUCUUUCUUUCUCUCCCACCAUGUCCCUUUUGGCCAAGCUCACAUGGUGGGUUUGAAUCAGUUAAAUGAGUGUCAUGCUGUGGCCUCACUCCACCCAGCAUAGACGGGUGUUUGGAAGGGUGGCGUUAGAGGAGAUUCUAGAAGCAGUAGCCUCAGCACAAGUUGAGCCCUUGGCCCCUGCUCAGGAGCCGGCCCCUGGAUGGGAUUCAGGGAUGCGAGCCCCUCGUGUGAGCUGAGCUCAGGGAAUGUCGGGAUCAAAUCUGGUGUCCUAGAAAAGUCAUCUUUUAUGUGCUGAACCAGUCCCCAGGGGGUUGCCAUUACUUGUUCCAUGGCCAUGGAAUUAAGAAAAACAUGCAAAAAUAAUCUUCAGUACUUGAAGAGCAUUCAGCACAGAAGGUACAAACCUUCCUUAAGGCUCCCUCCUCAAAUCAGUUUGGUCAUUUUGAUGUGCACCCCCCCAGGCCUUUAUACCCUUCAGAUGCCAAAUCUAAGAACCAGCUCCCAGAAACCACACCCCCUGUUCCAACCCCCAGCCUGGCUUGAGCGUGGGGUGGGUGGGAGCCCAGCAGGGCACCCCAGGGGUCUGGUGUCUUCUCCAGGCUGCUCUCAGCCUCUCUUGGUUCUCUCUGCAGUUUACAUGAGCUGCUGAAACAUGAAGAAAACAGCCUGGUCUUUGAGGACUCAGAGGAACUGGCAGCUCAGCUGCAGGUAGCCAUGUCUGCCACCACACCAGGGUGGGCAGGGUUCUGGAGACUGACAUCGAGCCACGCUCCCUGAUCCCUGCUUCACACAGCCAGGGUGGGACCAUGGGGGUCCUGGUGGAAAAGCUAGGGAGGGAGCAGAAGUCACAGAGGCUUCCUACUCUGCUGUCCCAUUUUGGUACAGUAGGCUCGGGAAAAUUAGGACACAACCCCACCUGCUCUCUGGAUUUCUGGAGCUGACACUCCACAAAUGAUGCUGGAGCCGGGUGGGCUGGGCUGCAGUUUAGGAAGUGAUCAGGAUCAGGUAGGUGCGUGGGCAGAGGGAACUUCUGGGAUCAGCCUUGAAAGAUGGGUGAAAUUCUGCAAAGGUUACUUGUUUCUUAUUGCAAAAAGUAAUACACCAUUCUUGUCAACAGAAUGAUUGGGAGGAUUUUCAGUAAAGGUCCAGAUCAGAAGUCAUUUAGACUGGGUCCCCCAGUCUCUGUCAGAACCAUGGUACUCUGUUGUGGUGUGAAAGUAGCCACAGAUCAUCUGUAGAUUAAGGGGUGUGGCUUUGUUCCAAUAAAGCUUUAUUUACAAACACAGGCUGUGGGCUGGAUUUGGCCUGCAGGCUGUAGUUUGUGAUCCUUGAUUCAGACAGUUUAGCAAGGCUGCAAAGAACACCCACACCCCCUUGUUACCCACAGAUGGGUGGGACUGUGUUGGCCAGAGGCCGAGAGGAGGGUGCUCACAGGGGAACGUACAGCAUGUAGAGGCCGGAAGGUGCUCCAGGGCACCAAGUGUGGGAAAGUGGGACAUACGGGGAAGUUUCCAGAAAGCAUGAUGUCAAGUUGGAGGCGGAGCGCUGCUGGGGUGUGAAGGGUCUCAAGUCCAAGUGAGGGAAUUAGGGACUUGGGAGGGGUUGUUGUUGGGUCGGGGAGCUGGGGUCAUCCAGGUGGUGACCUGGGAUGGGGUGGGGACAGGCAAUGAGGUAAGCUCUGCUCUUUAGCAUUUUGCAGAUGCUUUUCUCAAACUUUCCUGAUCCUGCAGGCAAGCUAAACCAGUUCCGGAAGAACCUGCAGGAGUCGCAGCAGCUCUGAUGGGAUGAGAGCUGGGUGCAGACUCUGCUCCCUUUGGUUAUGGACACAUAACUCCUGGGCCAGAGGCUAAAACCCCAGAGCCCCUGCUGUCCUUCCCGCAGCUUCUUCUUGGAGUCUCAGGGCAAAUCCUUUCGAGCAGCGCCUCCCAGUGGCCAGAAGCUGAAAUGACGGCAGUGGUGCCACCUGGUGAAUGACCCGGGAAGCUGUGAUUGGCCCUGAUUUCUUCUUUGGAGUCUCCGAAAGGCUUCCUGUCUUCUUCUGUUCACGCCCCAUGCCCCUGCUAGCAUAUUACUGUUCUAUGACUUCCCUGUGACCUCUGCAGUACUCCUCAUCCUGCAUUUGGUCUCCAGGUGUCACCUUUCUGCCGUGUUCCUAACACUUUGAUUCCUGUCUUGAAAAAAGCACCUGCUGCACCAUAAGCCCUGGGAUGUGGCAGCUGCAGCGGGCUUGGCUUUGUGAGGAACGGAGUGUGUCCAGGGAUGUGGCAGCUGCAGCGGGCUUGGCUUUGUGAGGAACCAAGUGUGUCCACGUUGGGGGAAUGUCAUACGUGAUACACACGUUUUUAUUUGCACAAAGAAAAUGCUAUUUUUGGAGCCAGAAUUUUCAUGUCUGAUUUAUGGUGAUUUUCUUAAGAACCGGAACUACUGGCAGAAAGGCGGCACCCACACGCUUAGAUAGCUGAUGUCUUAUUAGAGGGCAGUUUGUGGUUCCUGAUUUGGAAUUUAACAUUUUCCAAACAUUCCAGUCCAAUGAAAGUUUUAGCCGCUUUCCCAUAUAAAAAUUCUUCCCACGAGAGUGACUUGAUUCUCACAAUCCCGUUAGAGUCGUGUGUGAGUCCUACAGUGUGAGGUUCAGCAUUGCCAUCUCCAAGUGCUCUCCGUAGGGUAACAGUUUCUGGUCAUGAUGAGCUUCCGCUUCCCAUCUGAUCCCGGCCCGGCCUGGAAACAAAGCAUGUGUUUAAGGAUGGCGGUGUAUGGGGACAGGACAUGAGUGUUUUGUGUGGGGCUGCUAGGACAGGCCUGGUGGGGUGGGGGGUGUCUAAGUCAGUUUACUUGUUUCACAGGUUCCCAGGCCCACCCACGUACCUAGAAUUGGCCUCCAGGAUGGGACCAGACAUCUGGUUUUGCAUAGAAAUGGCUAGCAGCAGGAACCAUGCCGCUGUCCACUCUCUGCCUGCGUCUGCCCCAGCACUUGGCACAGCAGGACAGAAGCAGAGAUCUGAACCCAUAUCUACCUGGCUGCUCAGUCAACUCGCUCUUCACAAAGCUUAGAAAGUGGCCGGGCACAGCCACACUCUGUCUCAAAAAAAAAAAAAAAAAAAAAAAGGUUGGUGGGGGCUUAUACUAUGUGUGCUGCUUGGCACUGUUUUUUUCACUUAAAAGAUAUUGCAGGUGUUUUUUCAUGUAAGUAUCUGAAGAAAGACUUCCUUUUUUUUGUUUGCUUUUUUGAGACAGGGUCUUGCUCUGUUGCCCACGCUGGAGUGCAGUGGUGAGAUCAGGGCUCACUGCAGCCUCCACCUUGUGGGCUCAAGCCAUCCUCCCACCUCAGCCUCCCAAGUAGCUGGGACUACAGGCGUGUGCAACCACAUCUGGCUAGUUUCUGUAUGUUUUGUGAAGACGGGGUCCCACUAUGUGGCCCAGGUUGGUCUUGAACACCUGGGGUCAAGUAGUCCUCCUGCCUUAGCCUCCUAAAGUGCUGGGAUGACAGGCCUGAGCCCCGCGCCCGGCCAGCCUCCUGUGCGAGGUUGUGCGUGUGCGGGACUCUGUCGUGGAACCCAGUAUGCCUUCGUAUGCUGGCUUGUUUGUUGACUCUGUAGUUAACGGGCUGCCCCACGUGGGCAGGCACUGGGUCGUCUGUGUCUCUGUGUGCAGGCAGAGGCUGCUGCGGGUGCAUCUGUGCACAUGGCUGCCAGGAGGGGCUGUGCUCAGGGGGAGCUGGGGCAGAGGCUGGUGGCAAUGGGGGGCUUGGGUGUAGUGUGGAGGCACGAGAGCCAGGUGGCUGGGCUGCAGUCUGCGGGAGCUCGGGGGUCGCUUGGCCUCUGUGUGUCCCAGUGUCUUUGUCGGUGUGAUGGGACAAUGACAGCCCACCCUCACAGGUGCUGGGGACUGACAAAUGUCAGGUCUGAGGACAGUGGCUGGCCCACUACGGGGCCAGUUUCCCUUCUCUAUAGUCACCCUGCUCGUCUUCCAUCAACUGGGUGCUCAGGACAGUGGCAUGGUGGAUCCGCC